Molecule: non-coding RNA, 69 nt
Filed under: zebrafish metagenome
Description: DUF805 RNA
Rfam family: DUF805 RNA
Source: RNAcentral
AACAGUGGAGUACAGAUACCACUGCGAAAAAACGGGGCGGAAACUGAAAAGCCAAAUGAGUAAGUAAAA